RNAcentral lists this ribosomal RNA (443 nucleotides) under uncultured bacterium. RNAcentral describes it as "bacterial SSU rRNA". It matches the Rfam family "Bacterial small subunit ribosomal RNA", at positions 337 to 796 of the family's 1533-position model. The record is from RNAcentral.
UCCUACGGGAGGCAGCGGUGAGGGAUUUUCGGCAAUGGGCGAAAGCCUGACCGAGCGACGCCGCGUGAGCGAAGAAGGCCUUCGGGCCGUAAAGCUCUGUCUAGGGGGACGAGAGAGGACGGUACCCCUGGAGGAAGCCACGGCUAACUACGUGCCAGCAGCCGCGGUAAUACGUAGGUGGCGAGCGUUGUCCGGAAUUACUGGGCGUAAAGGGCGCGCAGGCGGCGCGUUAAGUCCGGGGUGAAAUCCCACGGCUCAACUGUGGGGGGACCCUGGAUACUGGCGUGCUGGAGUGCGGGAGAGGGAAGCGGAAUUCCACGUGUAACGGUGAAAUGUAUAGAUAUGUGGAGGAACACCGGUGGCGAAGGCGGCUUCCUGGACCGUAACUGACGCUGAGGCGCGAGAGCUGGGGGAGCGAACAGGAUUAGAUACCCUUGUAGUCG